UGUUCUAAUGAUGCGUUACAUCAAUUACAUUCAGUUUAAGUACGAUGAGUUUGUGUGGUUAAGUAGGCGGAGGACUUUUCAAUCCUCCGUCUCACAAGUGCACAGGUGUGUGUGGAUGAAGAAGAGAAGGCGUGCACAUGCUCUGGGGCCAGCGACAACCAACUCUAGAUUCAAUAAUGAUCCUUCCGCAGGUUCACCUACGGAAA
RNAcentral lists this unclassified non-coding RNA (206 nucleotides) under uncultured fungus. RNAcentral describes it as "sequence contains ITS1". Lineage: Eukaryota; Fungi. The record is from RNAcentral.